Long non-coding RNA from Herpailurus yagouaroundi (jaguarundi), 2210 nucleotides. RefSeq lists it as uncharacterized. The record is from RefSeq and is a predicted model, not a curated record. The transcript is spliced from 3 exons. Lineage: Eukaryota; Metazoa; Chordata; Mammalia; Carnivora; Felidae.
UGCUGAGGCUGCCAAGGAGACGAGAACAAUUACAGGGCCGAGCUCCAGCCAGGAAGGGGGAGCCGCAUCGGGAGAGCCGCUGAGCUGCCCGGCCCUCGACCGUGGGCCCGGCUUCCUGGGAGGCAGUUGCAAAGUUUGUCUUCAGGAUGGCAACAGUGGCCGCAUCCUCGCUGACAGAACCCACCUUGUGCUGGGCUGGGCACGUUUCACUCCCAUCUCCUUUCAUCUCCAAACGCCCUUGGGGUCGGAAUGAUUAACUCCAUUGCGUUCACUGACCCAUCCACCCAUUCUUUCAACAGAUAUUUAUUGAGUGCCUACUACGUGUCAGCACCGUGCUGGAUCCUAGAGAUGCAGCAAGGAAAAAAACCAGGAAAAAACCUUUGCUCUCACGGAGCUUACACCCAGGAAGGGGGAGACGAACAACAAAAAGGAACGAACAAGCGAACAUGUUAAGCACCAAGCCACCAGCGGGUAGCAAGAUGACCAAAUAUGUCGCAUGAAAAUAUUAGAAACACCACCAACCCAACUUAAAUAUGGGAAACUGAGGCCCGGGGUCCCAAAGCCAGAUAACGGCAGAGCUGGACUAGAAGAAGCCAGAUCUCCUGUUUUCCAAGCCAGAAUUCUUCUGCCGCAAGUGACCGCUGCUGAGAGUCAAGUUCAAACACCGAACUUUAAAUAUGAUCUUCUCAAAGGACACAGAGAGCCUCAGCCACAUGGCCCUUCUGGAUUCUGUUGCUGCCGCUCUUCGCCUCAAGGGUCUACUCCCUGAAAGAAGCCAGAGCCUUCCUCUCCCAGCUCCUCCCAUCCUAAAACCCAACCACCAAGCCGAUGAAGCCAACCCUCUUCUACCCUCUAGUCCUUCGGCCCCAGUCUUGGUGGCGACCUGUUAUCUCCAGGUCUUAUCUCCUUGGCUCCACCCCUACUCUCCACCCCAUGGGGCUGCCUCUGCCCCCUCCACCCUCCACCCAGAGCUUCUGCUCAGGUCACCAGCAACUUCGGUCCCUAAAUCCAACGCGCGCUGUGUGGCACUCCACCUGCCUGACCUUCCUGCACCAGUUCCCCUGUUGACCACUCCCUGCAGGGAGCCAUCUGUCACUCCUGUCCCCCCACCCCACCACUGCUCUGCCAGCAACUUCUCAAUGCCCUUUGUCAGUUCCUCCCCCACCCAAGCGUUGCUGUUCUGUCUUGAGCCCACUCUUCUUCCCAAGCUCUCUCCCUUGGCAUUCCCAUGGAUUGAAUAGCCAAUGAGUCCUAGGGCCACAUCCCAGCCCAGACCUGUCUCCUGGGCUCUGGGCCUGGGCACCCAACUGCCUCCACUGGGUGUCUCUACAGCAACUCAAACCAAGCAUGUCUGGAACCAUCUCAUGAUUCUAUCUCUCAGACCCGCUUUCCCUCCCAAGCCCCUAUGUCCAUAAACAGCACGAUCACCCACCCUGCGUUCAAGCCAAAAACCUGGGAGUCGCUGACCCCUUCCUCUCGCUCUCGCUGCACCCAGUCGCUAAGUCCUGCCGAGUUCACCUUCCAAAUGCCUGUGCACUCCAUCCAGACCUCCUGAUUCAGAUGAUGCCACCUAAACCUGGGACACCCCACCUGUGCCCCAAUGAGGGGGUCCUAACUGAUCUCCCUAAGCCACACUUACCCCACAUUCCACUCUCCUUACAGCAGCCAGAGGGAUCUUUCUAAAACAUACAUCUUUUUAUGUCAUUGGCCACCAUCUUCCAACUGCUCCCCAGUGAAACCCCCAAAUGGGUGGCACCUUGUGCCAUCCGCCCCCAGCUCUCUGAGCACCAGCCUCCCUGGCCCUUUCACUUUCCUUCAACUCACCAUGCUUCUCCCUGCCUCCAAGGCUUCGUUCUCUCUGCUUUCUCUGCCCAGAAUGCAUUUCCUUCUCCCCCUGACCCAUCCCCAAGAGAUCAGGCCAAGGGCUGCUUCUCACAUUUCCCACCAGCCCACAUUUCCGCACAGGGCCCCUAGGGUUCAUCGGCCCCCAGCUUGUUUGCACUCACCCAUGGGUGCCUGUGGUUGCUUGAUUCAUGUCUGUCUUGACUCCUGGACUGAAAAUUCCAUGAAGACCAGGGGCCAUGUCUGUCUUGCUCAGCCUACAGCCACACUGUGCCUGGCACAUAGCAACCCAGAGCUCCACCUUCCCGGGACAUCCCCUGUCUACACAGCCAGCAUUCACUGCCCCAGGAAUAAACUCAAGUCUGGAA